GACGAACGCUGGCGGCGUGCCUAAUACAUGCAAGUCGAGCGGACUGAUUAAGAGCUUGCUCUUAUGACGUUAGCGGCGGACGGGUGAGUAACACGUGGGCAACCUGCCCUGUAGAUCGGGAUAACACCGAGAAAUCGGUGCUAAUACCGGGUAAUAUCUGAGAUCACAUGAUCUUAGGUUAAAAGAUGGCUCCGGCUAUCACUACAGGAUGGGCCCGCGGCGCAUUAGCUAGUUGGUAAGGUAAUGGCUUACCAAGGCGACGAUGCGUAGCCGACCUGAGAGGGUGAUCGGCCACACUGGGACUGAGACACGGCCCAGACUCCUACGGGAGGCAGCAGUAGGGAAUCUUCCGCAAUGGACGAAAGUCUGACGGAGCAACGCCGCGUGAGUGAUAAAGGGUUUCGGCUCGUAAAGCUCUGUUGUUAGGGAAGAAACAGUACCGAACGAACUAGGUCGGUACCUUGACGGUACCUAACCAGAAAGCCACGGCUAACUACGUG
This 500-nucleotide ribosomal RNA is filed under the name uncultured bacterium. RNAcentral describes it as "partial 16S ribosomal RNA". It matches the Rfam family "Bacterial small subunit ribosomal RNA", at positions 28 to 507 of the family's 1533-position model. The record is from RNAcentral.